Molecule: long non-coding RNA, 1102 nt
Organism: Formica exsecta
Lineage: Eukaryota; Metazoa; Arthropoda; Insecta; Hymenoptera; Formicidae
Exons: 3
Source: RefSeq, a predicted model, not a curated record
UGUACAAUUUGUGGACGUGUAUGAUAUUGAUGCUGAAGAAGAUAAUUAUGAAGACAAAGUUUGUAUUGUGGAUAACGAAGGUGGAAAUGUAAACUUAAAUUACAAAAAAAAGCAGUUGUAUUUUGGUACAGUGGAAAAAAAGGACAUUUAGCUAUUACUGCUGUACAGAAUCGUUUUAGAAAGAUAAAAUCUGUUUCGCAAUUGCAUAGAUGGGAAGAAAAUAUAAUGCGCGGAGGGUCAAACAGUGACAAACUUGUAUUUAUUGCCGAAUAUAUACUAUCGCAAUUCCAAGAAUCUAUUGAUAGAGGAUCUAUCAUUCACGACAUAGAUUUGCGAAAAUGGGCAUUACAAGCAAAGGAGCAAAUAGACUUUUCUUCAUUUAGAGCAGGAAAUUGCUGAUGUAACAAUAGGUCAAAGUGCAGACGAAUUUGUGAGACAGGUUAAACUACAUAUUGAUGUUAUUGGUGCAAGAUCAAUUUAUAAUGCAGAUGAAAGCGGCUUUAAUUUCGAAAUACAUUCUGGAAGAACAUUAACUAAUGUGGGACCAAAACAAGUCGAAUCUACUAUCCAAUCUUUAUCUUCUAUGACUCAUAGCUAUACCAUUAUGCCCAUUAAAUCUGCAGAUGGACAUCCUCUUUCACCUCUGUAUAUAGUACUAAAAAAAUCUAGUGGAAAAUUUGGACCACGAGUAGAAAAAACUCUUUUUAGACCUAUUAAUGUUUACAUUGCAGCUUCAAAAUCCGGAAAACUCACAAGCUAACAUUUCAAAAACUAGUUUGAAGAAGUAUAUUUACGAAAUACUGGAGAAAAAAGUCUAUUGCUGCUUGAUUCAUGGACAGGACAUUGUGCGGAACAAUUAAAAGAAGUUAUAUCAGCAGACAAACAAGUAAAUAUUUUAACAAUAUCAAAAAAAACAACUGCUUUUGUACAACUUUUAGAUGUUUUCCGUUUUAGAAUUUGGAAAAAUUUUGUUCGAUGUUUUUCUGAUAAUAUUAUUUUAAAUAAUUAUGACAUAAAUUUACAUUCAUGUAAUAAUUUAAUAAAACUACAAAGUUUAACACAUAAUCAACUUUCUUCUCCAAGACUUCAAAAUGUAUUUAAA